RNAcentral lists this ribosomal RNA (547 nucleotides) under uncultured bacterium. Its description in RNAcentral is "bacterial SSU rRNA". It matches the Rfam family "Bacterial small subunit ribosomal RNA", at positions 355 to 896 of the family's 1533-position model. The record is from RNAcentral.
UGGGGAAUAUUGCGCAAUGGGGGGAACCCUGACGCAGCCAUGCCGCGUGAAUGAAGAAGGCCUUAGGGUUGUAAAGUUCUUUCGGUAUUGAGGAAGGUUGAUGUGUUAAUAGCACAUCAAAUUGACGUUAAAUACAGAAGAAGCACCGGCUAACUCCGUGCCAGCAGCCGCGGUAAUACGGAGGGUGCGAGCGUUAAUCGGAAUAACUGGGCGUAAAGGGCACGCAGGCGGUUAUUUAAGUGAGGUGUGAAAGCCCCGGGCUUAACCUGGGAAUUGCAUUUCAGACUGGGUAACUAGAGUACUUUAGGGAGGGGUAGAAUUCCACGUGUAGCGGUGAAAUGCGUAGAGAUGUGGAGGAAUACCGAAGGCGAAGGCAGCCCCUUGGGAAUGUACUGACGCUCAUGUGCGAAAGCGUGGGGAGCAAACAGGAUUAGAUACCCUGGUAGUCCACGCUGUAAACGCUGUCGAUUUGGGGGUUGGGGUUUAACUCUGGCGCCCGUAGCUAACGUGAUGAAUCGACCGCCUGGGGAGUACGGCCGCAAGGUUA